Long non-coding RNA from Bactrocera dorsalis (oriental fruit fly), 1706 nucleotides. RefSeq lists it as uncharacterized. The record is from RefSeq and is a predicted model, not a curated record. NCBI's taxonomy places the organism in Eukaryota, Metazoa, Arthropoda, Insecta, Diptera, Tephritidae. The transcript is spliced from 4 exons.
AAAUAAAAUAAAAUAAAAUAAAAUAAAAAGUGAAAUUAGUAAAAUAUAAAUAGCGAAAUAAUCUCUUAAAAAGUGAAAAGUGUAAUUAAUAUAGGCCAAGUAAUGAAAAGUCUUAGUGAUAUCUCUUUAAAAAAAUAAAAUGUGUAAGUGCUAUGAGCAAAGUUUAAAUAGCGAAAUAAAAUCUCAUAAAAAAAUAAAAAAAAGAAAUAUAUAAUUAUUGAAAGUAAGUAAUUAUUAAGUAAGUAAGUGUCUCUAUUUAAGAAAAAGUGAAAUAAAAGUCUUUUUAAUCUGAAAGAAAAAUCCAAGUGAAAAUAAUAUGGUUCAAGUAAUGAAAAAAAUAUCAUAAAAAAAUAAAAAGUAAAAAAUAAAAAUAAAAAGUAAAAAGAAAUAAUAAAAAAAAAUUUAAUAAAGGUCCAAUUAUAAGUUUAUGUAGAGAAAUCUCCCUAAAAUAAAAUUAAAAGUGAAAUCAAUAAAGUUGAAAUAGUGAAAUAAAAUAUCAUAAAAAAAUUAAUAAAGUAAUUAAGUGCCAUUAGUUAAGAAAAAAAUAAAUAAAAGUCAAGUAUUAAGUGAAAAAUCCAAAGUCAAAAUAAUAUAUAGUCCAAAUGGUGGAAAAAAAAAAAAAAAAAAUAAGUUAAAGUGCAAUUAAGUGUUUAAAUAGUGAAAUUUCUUAAAAAAAAAAUAAAAAGUGAAAUUAAUAAAGUGUAAAUCGUGAAAUAAAGUCUUAUAAAAUAAUAUCAUAUAAAAAAACUUUAAAUAAAAAAAAUUAAAAUAAAAGUGUAAUUAAAAGUCCAAAAAAGUUAAAUCUCUUUAAAAAUAACAUUUGAAGUGAAAAUAAUAAAGUGUAAAUAGUGAAAAAUCGUGCCAAAAUGAAAAGUAAAAUCCAACAAGUUGCCACUAAAAAUGCCGUCCUUCCCACACAGGCCCUUGCAACUCGCAAAAUUCCUACUGGACAAAAAGUAUCCCUACUGGGCAGCAAAAUACACACCAGUUGAUGCCUCAGCAUUUUCGCCGUUUACCAUUUUCAUUGUGAUCCUGUGCUAACAAUAAUUUAUGGGAAUUUUCAUAGAAAUAAAAUAACAACACACACGUCCGUUUGUGUGUGAAUGUGCGAGCGUAAACAUCGACGCUGUUAAUUAACGAACGAAAUUAUGCAAUGAUGGCAUGACAGCGUGCACAAACAGAACACAGAACGAAAACAAAAACAAAAACAUAAACGAAAAAUAACGAUAUACACACAAUUGGCCAGAAGGUAUACCAAACAGCAUCGUUCUCAGCUCUUCAGCAAAAAUUUGCUCUUUUGACUUCUCUUUAUCUCACCGCCGCAUUUUUCGCUUUGGCCUACUGCCAGUAAAUGAGGUGAUUUAACGGUAAAAUGAAAAAGUUAUUAUUUCGAUCAAUUAAUAGCGGCUGUUGUGUGCGAAGUGCAAAAGCAAUUGUAAUAAAAGUGCUGGACAAUAAGAACAAGCUGCUGCUGCCACUCAGGGUAUUGUGUUGAUUAUAUAAGAAGAAAGCGAGAAGAAUAAGUGUCUGUGAAAGUGAUUUAUAUGUGCAGUGUCAUAGAGAAAUGUGAAAGAUAAGUGAAAUUGUGAAUGUGUUAAGUGCAAAAAAAAAUAUUAAAAAAAGUGUCAAUGCGCAAAGUGUAGGAAAAUAGCGAAUUCUAAGACCCACGCUGCAGAAUAUUGGAAUUGGUAAGUGAAGUGAAGUAA